UACGUAGGUGGCAAGCGUUGUCCGGAUUUACUGGGCGUAAAGGGCGUGCAGGCGGUCUGUUAAGUGCAGGGUGAAAGCUCCCGGCUCAACUGGGAGAGGUCCUUGCAUACUGGCGGACUUGAGGGGGGUAGAGGAAAGUGGAAUUCCCGGUGUAGUGGUGAUAUGCGUAGAUAUCGGGAGGAACACCAGUGGCGAAGGCGGCUUCCUGGACCGGUUCUGACACUGAGGAGCGAAAGCGUGGGGAGCGAUCCGG
Molecule: ribosomal RNA, 253 nt
Filed under: uncultured bacterium
Lineage: Bacteria
Description: partial 16S ribosomal RNA
Rfam family: Bacterial small subunit ribosomal RNA
Source: RNAcentral